GGAUGUGAGGGUGAUCUGGCUGCAAAAUCUGUCACCCCAUUGAUCACUAGGGUUGAUUCAGCUGAUCUGGCUGGCUAGGUGGGUGUCCCCUUUCUCUCUCACUGCUCCAUGUGCAUCUCUCCUGAAACUGGAUGCUCAUUUGAAGAGGAUGACCAUCCCCGACAGAGGAGGUCAAGGGUAUACAAGAGCUGUGCUCCCCUCCUAGAAACUUCAAACAAAGCAUCUAUGUAAAAUUGACUCUUCAAUUUUAACAUAACAAAGCAAAACACAGAGUUGGCAACAUGUAAGCAUUACAGUAUCA
Cebus imitator (Panamanian white-faced capuchin) is the source of this 301-nucleotide unclassified non-coding RNA. Its record names the gene 7SK. It matches the Rfam family "7SK RNA". From Rfam's summary of the family: 7SK was discovered as an abundant small nuclear RNA in the mid-70s but a possible function has only recently been suggested. Lineage: Eukaryota; Metazoa; Chordata; Mammalia; Primates; Cebidae. The record is from Ensembl.